Molecule: long non-coding RNA, 145 nt
Organism: Telopea speciosissima
Lineage: Eukaryota; Viridiplantae; Streptophyta; Magnoliopsida; Proteales; Proteaceae
Exons: 3
Source: RefSeq, a predicted model, not a curated record
AGGGAGAGAUCAUUUGGAGUGCAAUUCCCUUUUAUCUACAAUAAGUAUCAAGGGAAGGCCAGAGUAGGGUGCUCUCCAUAUGUUUCAUGUUUCCCUUGAUACAUUUCUAUAGUAUAUAGUAAAUUAUGACGUCAGAAGAAAAUUU